CAGAGAACCUGCCCUUUUGGGUAGAUCUCCCCACCCUUUGUCUACUCUACCUUCGUUGCCUUGGCAGGCCCGUCGUAUGACCACCGGCUUCAGCUGGUCAGUGCCUGCCAGAGGACACUCCUAAUUCUUGAUUUUGUGUUGUCUGAGCAUCAUAUAUAAUCGUUA
Molecule: unclassified non-coding RNA, 165 nt
Filed under: uncultured Helotiales
Lineage: Eukaryota; Fungi; Ascomycota; Leotiomycetes; Helotiales
Description: sequence contains ITS1
Source: RNAcentral